GCACUGGUGGUUCAGUGGUAGAAUUUUCAUCUUCCACGUGGGAGACCCAGGUUUGAUUCCCAGCCGGUGCA
This 71-nucleotide transfer RNA is filed under the name Loxodonta africana (African savanna elephant). It matches the Rfam family "tRNA". Rfam says of the family: Transfer RNA (tRNA) molecules are approximately 80 nucleotides in length. Their secondary structure includes four short double-helical elements and three loops (D, anti-codon, and T loops). Lineage: Eukaryota; Metazoa; Chordata; Mammalia; Proboscidea; Elephantidae. The record is from Rfam by way of RNAcentral.